AAUAGAUCUCUGCCAAAGACAAUGC
RNAcentral lists this non-coding RNA (25 nucleotides) under Cricetulus griseus (Chinese hamster). Lineage: Eukaryota; Metazoa; Chordata; Mammalia; Rodentia; Cricetidae. The record is from RNAcentral.